Molecule: ribosomal RNA, 789 nt
Filed under: uncultured bacterium
Lineage: Bacteria
Description: bacterial SSU rRNA
Rfam family: Bacterial small subunit ribosomal RNA
Source: RNAcentral
AGAGUUUGAUCAUGGCUCAGAUUGAACGCUGGCGGAAUGCUUUACACAUGCAAGUCGAGCGGCAGCGCGGGGCAACCUGGCGGCGAGCGGCGGACGGGUGAGUAACAUAUCGGAACGUGUCCUGUAGUGGGGGAUAGCCCGGCGAAAGCCGGAUUAAUACCGCAUACGAUCUACGGAUGAAAGUGGGGGACCUUCGGGCCUCACGCUAUAGGAGCGGCCGAUAUCUGAUUAGCUAGUUGGUGGGGUAAAGGCCUACCAAGGCGAUGAUCAGUAGCUGGUCUGAGAGGAUGAUCAGCCACACUGGGACUGAGACACGGCCCAGACUCCUACGGGAGGCAGCAGUGGGGAAUUUUGGACAAUGGGCGCAAGCCUGAUCCAGCCAUUCCGCGUGAGUGAAGAAGGCCUUCGGGUUGUAAAGCUCUUUCGGCCGGAACGAAACGGGUCAUAUUAAUACUAUGGCCUACUGACGGUACCGGAGUAAGAAGCACCGGCUAACUACGUGCCAGCAGCCGCGGUAAUACGUAGGGUGCGAGCGUUAAUCGGAAUUACUGGGCGUAAAGCGUGUGCAGGCGGUUUGUUAAGACAGGUGUGAAAUCCCCGGGCUUAACCUGGGAAUUGCGCUUGUUACUGGCAAGCUAGAGUACGUCAGAGGGGGGUGGAAUUCCACGUAGCAGUGAAAUGCGUAGAGAUGUGGAGGAACACCGAUGGCGAAGGCAGCCCCCUGGGAUGAUACUGACGCUCAUACACGAAAGCGUGGGGAGCAAACAGGAUUAGAUACCCUAGUAGUCC